UAAAGGACAUGUCAGUUACAUACUGGCUGGGCUGUAGUGGGGGUUGGUAAGGGGAGAACGGUUAGGGUCAGAGGUUAGGGUUAGGUUAACGUACAUAGCGGCUGAGCUGUAGUGGGACUGGGCAGGGGAGAACGGUUAGGGUCAGAGGUUAGGUUAACUUACAUAGCGGCUGGGCUGUAGUGGGACUGGGCAGGGGAGAACGGUUAGGGUCAGAGGUUAGGUUAACUUACAUAGCGGCUGGGCUGUAGUGGGACUGGGCAGGGGAGAACGGUUAGGGUCAGAGGUUAGGUUAACUUACAUAGCGGCUGGGCUGUAGUGGGACUGGGCAGGGGAGAACGGUUAGGGUCAGAGGUUAGGUUAACUUACAUAGCGGCUGGGCUGUAGUGGGACUGGGCAGGGGAGAACGGUUAGGGUCAGAGGUUAGGUUAACUUACAUAGCGGCUGGGCUGUAGUGGGACUGGGCAGGGGAGAACGGUUAGGGUCAGAGGUUAGGUUAACUUACAUAGCGGCUGGGCUGUAGUGGGACUGGGCAGGGGAGAACGGUUAGGGUCAGAGGUUAGGUUAACUUACAUAGCGGCUGGGCUGUAGUGGGACUGGGCAGGGGAGAACGGUUAGGGUCAGAGGUUAGGGUUAA
This is a long non-coding RNA of Oncorhynchus keta (chum salmon), 634 nucleotides long. RefSeq lists it as uncharacterized. NCBI's taxonomy places the organism in Eukaryota, Metazoa, Chordata, Actinopteri, Salmoniformes, Salmonidae. The record is from RefSeq and is a predicted model, not a curated record. The transcript has 5 exons.